AACAAACUCUUCGGAAGUAAAUCUUGCAAUCCUUAAACACACAUGUAUGAAUAGAUAGAUAGAUCGAUAGAGAGGAAUAGAGUCCUAAAUUACAAAGUAAAGCCUCACAAUUUCUUAUUUCCUAGAUUAGAAGGACAAGCGUAAUUCUAACAUGAUUAGACAAUGCAAAAGUAUUCUAAAGUCAUAUUAGUACUAUUAUUAUUUUUUUUUUUUUUGGAAACUACUACGUUUUUAAUUUUUAUGUACUUGGUUUACUUUUUUUUCCUGGGUCUCUUCUUCUGAUAAACA
This 288-nucleotide unclassified non-coding RNA is filed under the name Hevea brasiliensis (rubber tree). The record is from RNAcentral. Lineage: Eukaryota; Viridiplantae; Streptophyta; Magnoliopsida; Malpighiales; Euphorbiaceae.